This 253-nucleotide ribosomal RNA is filed under the name uncultured bacterium. Its description in RNAcentral is "partial 16S ribosomal RNA". It matches the Rfam family "Bacterial small subunit ribosomal RNA", at positions 524 to 776 of the family's 1533-position model. The record is from RNAcentral.
UACGAAGGGGGCUAGCGUUGUUCGGAAUCACUGGGCGUAAAGCGCACGCAGGCGGAUUGAUAAGUCAGGGGUGAAAUCCCGGGGCUCAACCUCGGAAUUGCCUUUGAUACUGUCUAUCUUGAGUUCGGGAGAGGUUGGCGGAAUUCCUAGUGUAGAGGUGAAAUUCGUAGAUAUUAGGAAGAACACCAGUGGCGAAGGCGGCCAACUGGCCCGAUACUGACGCUCAUGUGCGAAAGCGUGGGGAGCAAACGGG